This 629-nucleotide ribosomal RNA is filed under the name Podosphaera xanthii. Its description in RNAcentral is "partial large subunit ribosomal RNA". It matches the Rfam family "Eukaryotic large subunit ribosomal RNA", at positions 261 to 910 of the family's 3401-position model. The record is from RNAcentral. Lineage: Eukaryota; Fungi; Ascomycota; Leotiomycetes; Helotiales; Erysiphaceae.
CGAGUCGAGUUGUUUGGGAAUGCAGCUCUAAAUGGGUGGUAAAUUUCAUCUAAAGCUAAAUAUUGGCCAGAGACCGAUAGCGCACAAGUAGAGUGAUCGAAAGAUGAAAAGCACUUUGGAAAGAGAGUUAAACAGUACGUGAAAUUGUUGAAAGGGAAGCGCUGGCAACCAGACUUGGGCGCUGUUGAUCCUCUAGGGUUCUCUCUAGGGCACUCGUCAGUGCGCAGGCCAGCAUCGGUUUGGGGGGUUGGAGAAUGGUUGGUGGAAUGUGCCUGUCUUUGGGCAGUCUUAUAGCCACCGGUGGCAUGCAGCCUCCCCGGACCGAGGUCCGCGCUUCGGCUAGGAUGCUGGCGUAAUGGUUGUCAGCGACCCGUCUUGAAACACGGACCAAGGAGUCUAACAUCUAUGCGAGUGUUUGGGUGUUAAACCCAUACGCGGAAUGAAAGUGAACGUAGGUGAGAACCCGCAAGGGUGCAUCAUCGACCGAUCCUGAUGUCUUCGGAUGGAUUUGAGUAAGAGCAUAGCUGUUGGGACCCGAAAGAUGGUGAACUAUGCCUGAAUAGGGUGAAGCCAGAGGAAACUCUGGUGGAGGCUCGCAGCGGUUCUGACGUGCAAAUCGAUCGUCAAAU